CUGCUUGGCCUGCAACUCCUG
RNAcentral lists this unclassified non-coding RNA (21 nucleotides) under Mus musculus (house mouse). RNAcentral's name for it is "oocyte_clustered_small_RNA8502". The record is from RNAcentral. Lineage: Eukaryota; Metazoa; Chordata; Mammalia; Rodentia; Muridae.